UUUAGGUUGUAUACGCGCGCCAUCUAACUGUACAUAUAAACGAAAAGUAACGGUUUGAAGGGCGCGUUACUGAUAAACAAAGUUGAAGGAAAAAAAGUUUAAAAACCGAUUGAAAGAAGCUUACAAGCAUUGCAUUUGAUUCUUGCGCGCGAAGGAAUAAUUCGAAAGAAAAAAAAUAAUCAGAAACACAAUAAACAAAAAUAAUGUGUGGCGAGACGUGAACGACAAUAAGCAAUCAACAAUAAUAACCUUGCAGUGGUUUCCAAUUAUUUCGCUAUUUGCUAGGCACAAAACAGCACCGCACCCGAGGCAUUGAAAAACAACCAAAGUUGACGCUAUAAAAAAUGCACAACCAUAAAUUUAACGAAAAACAAAAGCGGUGUGUGAAAUAAAAAAAAAAAAAAAAAAAAA
Molecule: long non-coding RNA, 411 nt
Organism: Anastrepha ludens (Mexican fruit fly)
Lineage: Eukaryota; Metazoa; Arthropoda; Insecta; Diptera; Tephritidae
Exons: 3
Source: RefSeq, a predicted model, not a curated record